UAAUACGAAGGUGGCAAGCGUUGUUCGGAUUUACUGGGCGUAAAGGGAGCGUAGGUGGUGGGGUAAGCCCCGCGGGAAAGCUCCAGGCUUAACCUGGAAAGGUCGCGGGGGACUGCUUCGCUUGAGGACGGGAGAGGAGCGCGGAAUUCCCGGUGUAGCGGUGAAAUGCGUAGAGAUCGGGAGGAAGGCCGGUGGCGAAGGCGGCGCUCUGGAACGGCCCUGACACUGAGGCUCGAAAGCGUGGGGAGCAAACAGGAUUAGAUACCCUGGUAGUCCACGCCCUAAACGAUGGACACUACGUGCCGGCGGGUCUCCGUCGGUGCCGCAGCUAACGCAGUAAGUGUCCCGCCUGGGGAGUACGGCCGCAAGGUUG
Molecule: ribosomal RNA, 373 nt
Filed under: uncultured bacterium
Lineage: Bacteria
Description: bacterial SSU rRNA
Rfam family: Bacterial small subunit ribosomal RNA
Source: RNAcentral